AGCGUUGCCUUGUGGCCUAUACGACUUCCGCUUCCUCCUUGGUCCGCCUUCGGCCAGAUUUUCUUCUCCUCAGCCGUUGAGGGCAGCUGUAACCGCGAGCUUUCUUUCGGUGGGAGAGAGAGGGUAAAGACCCGGGAGGGACCUCGCGGAUAGAUUGACUAGCUCCUCGUGACACUCACUCUGCCCUGCACGUGCUCUGUGCGUCCGUUGAAAUCAGCAGUUGCAGGUGCCAUUUCCUGAUGAUCUUCCUGUGACCAUGCUUGAGUCCUUACAUCUGGGUGCUGCACCUUCCCGCACUAGAAGGUCCAGCCGAAGAGGGAACCUGUGGAAACUCUUCCUCAAGAGUUUGAGAAGUGGUGCAAACCAUGGCUGCCGUGGCCACCACGGCAUCACCAGUAUGCAGGGACAUUCGUACUACCUGGAUUGAACCACUUCUAAAAAAUAGACUGGGUCGAUUAGAAGAGUAUUAUAUUGCCUAUUUUCUGGCGGAUCGACAUGCAAAGGUCACAGCGCAGAUAGCAAGAUUUUGUGCAGCAGCUUGUAAAUUGAGAAGGAAACAACUUCCCUGUAACUGAGAUUUUAUAUAAUUUGAUACGGUGCCACUAAGUUAUUGUUUUGAUUUUGUUUUGUUAUGUUGACUUAUGCUUUGUGUGUAUUUUGACUGGUCAUGGACCAUAAUAAACUAUUACUUACUUGCUA
Long non-coding RNA from Hemicordylus capensis (graceful crag lizard), 699 nucleotides. RefSeq lists it as uncharacterized. The transcript is spliced from 4 exons. Lineage: Eukaryota; Metazoa; Chordata; Lepidosauria; Squamata; Cordylidae. The record is from RefSeq and is a predicted model, not a curated record.